RNAcentral lists this ribosomal RNA (306 nucleotides) under uncultured bacterium. RNAcentral describes it as "bacterial SSU rRNA". It matches the Rfam family "Bacterial small subunit ribosomal RNA", at positions 30 to 333 of the family's 1533-position model. The record is from RNAcentral.
AUUGAACGCUGGCGGCAUGCCUUACACAUGCAAGUCGAACGGCAGCACGGGAGCAAUCCUGGUGGCGAGUGGCGAACGGGUGAGUAAUAUAUCGGAACGUGCCCGGUCGUGGGGAUAACGUAGCGAAAGCUACGCUAAUACCGCAUACGAUCUACGGAUGAAAGACGGGGGAGGUCGCAAGACCUCGCGCGAUUGAGCGGCCGAUAUCAGAUUAGGUAGUUGGUGAGGUAAAGGGACUCACCAAGCCGACGAUCUGUAGCUGGUCUGAGAGGACGACCAGCCACACUGGGACUGAGACACGGCCCA